UUCGCCCUUAGAGUUUGAUCCUGGCUCAGGACGAACGCUGGCGGCGCGCCUAACACAUGCAAGUCGAACGAGCGAGAGAGAGCUUGCUUUCUCGAGCGAGUGGCGAACGGGUGAGUAACGCGUGAGGAACCUGCCUCAAAGAGGGGGACAACAGUUGGAAACGACUGCUAAUACCGCAUAAGCCCACGACCCGGCAUCGGGUAGAGGGAAAAGGAGCAAUCCGCUUUGAGAUGGCCUCGCGUCCGAUUAGCUAGUUGGUGAGGUAACGGCCCACCAAGGCGACGAUCGGUAGCCGGACUGAGAGGUUGAACGGCCACAUUGGGACUGAGACACGGCCCAGACUCCUACGGGAGGCAGCAGUGGGGAAUAUUGCACAAUGGGGGAAACCCUGAUGCAGCGACGCCGCGUGGAGGAAGAAGGUCUUCGGAUUGUAAACUCCUGUUGUUGAGGAAGAUAAUGACGGUACUCAACAAGGAAGUGACGGCUAACUACGUGCCAGCAGCCGCGGUAAAACGUAGGUCACAAGCGUUGUCCGGAAUUACUGGGUGUAAAGGGAGCGCAGGCGGGAAGACAAGUUGGAAGUGAAAUCCAUGGGCUCAACCCAUGAACUGCUUUCAAAACUGUUUUUCUUGAGUAGUGCAGAGGUAGGCGGAAUUCCCGGUGUAGCGGUGGAAUGCGUAGAUAUCGGGAGGAACACCAGUGGCGAAGGCGGCCUACUGGGCACCAACUGACGCUGAGGCUCGAAAGUGUGGGUAGCAAACAGGAAUUAGAUACCCUGGUAGUCCACACCGUAAACGAUGAUUACUAGGUGUUGGAGGAUUGACCCCUUCAGUGCCGCAGUUAACACAAUAAGUAAUCCACCUGGGGAGUACGACCGCAAGGUUGAAACUCAAAGGAAUUGACGGGGGCCCGCACAAGCAGUGGAGUAUGUGGUUUAAUUCGACGCAACGCGAAGAACCUUACCAAGUCUUGACAUCCCUUGACGAUGCUGGAAACAGUAUUUCUCUUCGGAGCAAGGAGACAGGUGGUGCAUGGUUGUCGUCAGCUCGUGUCGUGAGAUGUUGGGUUAAGUCCCGCAACGAGCGCAACCCUUAUGGUCAGUUACUACGCAAGAGGACUCUGGCCAGACUGCCGUUGACAAAACGGAGGAAGGUGGGGAUGACGUCAAAUCAUCAUGCCCUUUAUGACUUGGGCUACACACGUACUACAAUGGCGUUAAACAAAGAGAAGCAAGACCGCGAGGUGGAGCAAAACUCAGAAACAACGUCCCAGUUCGGACUGCAGGCUGCAACUCGCCUGCACGAAGUCGGAAUUGCUAGUAAUCGUGGAUCAGCAUGCCACGGUGAAUACGUUCCCGGGCCUUGCACACACCGCCCGUCA
RNAcentral lists this ribosomal RNA (1380 nucleotides) under uncultured bacterium. RNAcentral's name for it is "16S ribosomal RNA". It matches the Rfam family "Bacterial small subunit ribosomal RNA". The record is from RNAcentral.